RNAcentral lists this ribosomal RNA (497 nucleotides) under uncultured bacterium. RNAcentral describes it as "partial 16S ribosomal RNA". It matches the Rfam family "Bacterial small subunit ribosomal RNA", at positions 28 to 507 of the family's 1533-position model. The record is from RNAcentral.
GACGAACGCUGGCGGCGUGCCUAAUACAUGCAAGUAGAACGCUGAAGCGAGGAGCUUGCUCUUCUUGGAUGAGUUGCGAACGGGUGAGUAACGCGUAGGUAACCUGCCUUGUAGCGGGGGAUAACUAUUGGAAACGAUAGCUAAUACCGCAUAACAAUGGAUGACACAUGUCAUUUAUUUGAAAGGGGCAAUUGCUCCACUACAAGAUGGACCUGCGUUGUAUUAGCUAGUAGGUGAGGUAAUGGCUCACCUAGGCGACGAUACAUAGCCGACCUGAGAGGGUGAUCGGCCACACUGGGACUGAGACACGGCCCAGACUCCUACGGGAGGCAGCAGUAGGGAAUCUUCGGCAAUGGGGGCAACCCUGACCGAGCAACGCCGCGUGAGUGAAGAAGGUUGUCGGAUCGUAAAGCUCUGUUGUAAGUCAAGAACGGGUGUGAGAGUGGAAAGUUCACACUGUGACGGUAGCCUACCAGAAAGGGACGGCUAACUACGUG